Long non-coding RNA from Oncorhynchus tshawytscha (Chinook salmon), 479 nucleotides. NCBI's taxonomy places the organism in Eukaryota, Metazoa, Chordata, Actinopteri, Salmoniformes, Salmonidae. The record is from Ensembl.
UGGCAGCUGCUGUAAAGAGAGAGAGAGGGAACAGGAGAGUAAGGCAGAUAGGGGAAGGGAGACAGAUGGAGAGGGAGGGAGAGAGAAGAGAGUGUACAUGGGGUGGCUAGAGGCCAGAGGAACCUCCUACUCUUCCACUGAGGAGAAACUAGAGGCAGGGAAAGAGAGGUGGCUAGAGGCCAGAGGAACCUCCUACCCUUCUACUGAGGAGAAACUAGAGACAGGGAAAGAGAGGUGGCUAGAGGCCAGAGGAACCUCCUACUCUUCCACUGAGGAGAAACUAGAGGCAGGGAAAGAGAGGUGGCUAGAGGCCAGAGGAACCUCCUACUAUUCCACUGAGGAGAAACUAGAGGCAGGGAAAGAGAGAGAGCUAGAGGCCAGAGGAACCUCCUACCCUUCCACUGAGGAGAAACUAGAGGCAGGAAAAGAGAGGUGGCUCGAGGCCAGAGGAACCUCCUACUCUUCCACUGAGGAGAAAC